This 226-nucleotide long non-coding RNA is filed under the name Capsicum annuum. RNAcentral describes it as "long non-coding RNA (CANN_LNC005420)". The record is from RNAcentral. Lineage: Eukaryota; Viridiplantae; Streptophyta; Magnoliopsida; Solanales; Solanaceae.
AUAAAUCAAAGCCUUCAAAAAUUUGAAAUAAGUCAACGAAUAAAUGAAAUAUAAAAAAAUUGUUAUGGGUACAAAUCUCAACAAAUACAUCAACAACAAUUUAAGUAUGAUGCCAAGGAUUACUUUGACAGGCUCAAUCUAUAAAGAUCUACUUAAUAUGGACAAGUUGUUCUUCAUCCGGUGCUAUGAAAUUUCGCUUUGCUCGCCGUGGAUCUUUAUUGUCGCU